RNAcentral lists this long non-coding RNA (1671 nucleotides) under Marmota monax (woodchuck). Lineage: Eukaryota; Metazoa; Chordata; Mammalia; Rodentia; Sciuridae. The record is from RNAcentral.
CAUCAGCAAACCCUUCAGCUAAUUGUCUUCAGCGGUCUCUUGAAAUUUAAGGGCUGUUACAACAGUAAUUUGUGCCUCUUAAAUAGUCAACUAUAAAUAGUGGGACAAACCGAGUGGGAAGCAGGAAGAACAGGGAAGGUGCUCGGAAUAGCAACUAACCUAGAAAGCGAGUCGAGUUGACGUUGAGCAGUUGCUGCUGAAGAAGAAGGAAAGGGUGAGACCCCCGGGUGCCUCUGCUCCUGCCCCUGCAGGACCCUCCGUGUCCCCCUGGCGGCCACAGCCAGGCCAACGUGGUGGGCACAGAGCGCCUUGAGCCCUCAAGACUUUCCACCUGGCUGGCCACGGGGCCCGGCCUGGCAGUGGGGAGCGUGGUCCUGGCCCUGGAGCCCUGUGGUCACCAUGUGGCCUUGUGCCCAACACCAAACAGUAGCAACUCAGAGACAGCCACGCAGGAGGGGACACCCCGAUGCAAGCUGAGGCGUCCUCCCCGGCCUCCACCUGUGCUGCUCACUGGUCAGCUCGUGCUUUCAUUCACGAGGUACCCACCUGCCCCUACGAGCGAGGCCCUGUCCUGGGAGGCCACACCUCAGGGAGGUGACUGUCCGCUUGAGGAUGGGUGCUGUGGUUCGUGGGCAGGGUGACUCUGCAGGUGUGGCCAGAGCAGUGCUGCCAGCAGCAGGUUCAUGAGGCGCCGGGUUCCCGGAGGCCAUCAGCGCAGCCCACCCAGAGGGAGCCUGAACCCGCCACGGGGAGCCCCAUCCCUGAGUGCCGCUGGUGGGCAGGAGGGUGGCUCCCAGCCCCUCCCGGCACCCUGCUACCUGGGAGGAGCACCCACCCCACCUCCUGCCCCCAGCAGGAGAGAGGGAGGGCUGGAGAACUGGAGGGCUGGCCCCAGGCAUCUUCCCGAGCCUCCAGAACACUCCCGGACUGAGCCAGGGCCAGGUCGUGGGCUUGCCCGGCUGCUGGGGCUCCCACUUCCCACCCGCCUCCUCGAUCCCUCCCUGUGGCUCCCUCUGGGCCCCUCUCCUGCGCACACCCCAUGUCCUCGGCUCCUGCCAGCCUCUUCCUCCUGGGGCCUCCCAGCGUUUGAAUCUCGCACACCCAUCCCUGGAGCCCUGACCUUGCACCUCCAGCAACCUGCCCCAAUCUCUGUGGCCUCCUCCUGGGGCUGGGCCGGGGGCCAGGGCCUUGCAUCUGGGUCCUGCCCCGCUGGCGGCCCCCACCUCUACCUGAGGUCCCAGCAGUCUCUGGGCAGUGCUGCCCUGGGGGCUGCCUCGCUCCCCUGCUCAGAGGAGAGGCCAAGGCUGUCAUGAGGGGCCUGCUCUGGGGUAUCCUGCCCCAGGACCCCCAGCCAUCCCCAGGGGACAGACUGGGGUGGCAGAGCAGGGCAUGGGACUCUUGCAGGGGCACAGGACACUUGUGCUUGGGGCUGUGUCCAAAGGUGGCAGGUGCUGAGCCCUCAGUACUGCCCUGCUGCCCUCUCUGCUCAGGAGGUCACCUCUACCACUUGACCCUCUCCUGUGAGAGCCGCAGCUGCUGCUGGUGGACCCCUCCCUUCUGCCGACCCUCACCCUCCUUGGACCCUGAGCAGCCUCUGUCCGUGUGGAGAGUCCAGGGCCUGGGGCACUUGCAGUGCAGUGAGUUCAUCCCAGGGACUGUUGCAGAGACCUG